ACGAUUCUUCACAUAUCGUAGUAUAUCGUGGUACCAAAGGUGAUCAUUCUUUUUUCUUCCUCGAUGUUGUAAUAAUGACUCGAAGCCUCAUCAAUACUCAUCUGGAUAGGUUUUACAUCCUCUUAUUUAUUCACUUUAAUCAUGGAAGCUAAGGUAGCCAGGGUGUCAGCCAUUUGAUUGUCAUCUCGCGGAAGAUAGCAGAAAGUGAUGUUAUUAAACUCUUUAAUUAACUCUAGGACCAGCCUUU
RNAcentral lists this long non-coding RNA (247 nucleotides) under Gossypium barbadense (sea-island cotton). RNAcentral's name for it is "long non-coding RNA (GBAR_LNC006209)". Lineage: Eukaryota; Viridiplantae; Streptophyta; Magnoliopsida; Malvales; Malvaceae. The record is from RNAcentral.